This 452-nucleotide long non-coding RNA is filed under the name Nicotiana benthamiana. Its description in RNAcentral is "long non-coding RNA (NBEN_LNC042021)". Lineage: Eukaryota; Viridiplantae; Streptophyta; Magnoliopsida; Solanales; Solanaceae. The record is from RNAcentral.
CGGAUAGAAAACCAAGAGCGCUUAUGUAUCAUCUCCUGUCGAAAAGCGAAAAAACUAAAGAUGGCACACAAGCAGGGGGAAACGGAAAAAAAAAGCGGGGCAGCCAUCUCCUCACCCACAGCUUCAACCUUCAGUACACAUAGCCCUAUCUCUCAGCAGCCUAAAACACAUGCACGAGACCCAAAUUCCAGCGAAUUUCCCCCAGAUCCCACCUCUCAACCUCUCAUCUCUUCGUUCAAUUGUUAGAAAUUAAGAAUGGAGUUAGUUGAGGUUUGAAGCCCGUUCGUUCGCCGAUCGAGGUUCGCGGCAAUGUUCUUAUUGCUGUUUUUAGUUCUAUUCGCGGCUUAUAGCUCCCUUUCGAUUGUUGUUGUUCGUCUCGAUUUUUUUAUCGCCGAAAUUCGCUUGUAUUUGCUCUCAAACAGAAUUAAUCAAAACCUUCUUGUGCUUUCAGG